This 1059-nucleotide unclassified non-coding RNA is filed under the name Hevea brasiliensis (rubber tree). Lineage: Eukaryota; Viridiplantae; Streptophyta; Magnoliopsida; Malpighiales; Euphorbiaceae. The record is from RNAcentral.
GCAACAAUACAAGUGUGAAUUUCUUUUAAAAUUGAGAGAUUUUAAUAAAUUUUCAUUUUAAAAUGUUAGUGGUUCUAAAACUCUUGUUAAUAUCUUUAAUCAUUAAAAAAAUCUUUAGAAAAGAUCAAUCAUGAAAAGAAAGAAAAACGAUUGAAACACUUGAAAAAUAAAGGGAUAUGCACUCUAUAUAGUUGGAAGAAAAAAAAGGGUCAUAAAAGAGAUCUGCCGCGGCUCCGUAAUUAUAUUUGGGAAAUUUAUAGACACAUUUCAUAUUCACGAAAUUUUAAUCACUCCUUAAAAUAUAAUAAUUUCCCUGGCCUAUGUUACACGUCGUCUAUCUCUCGCGUGACACUAUCAUACUCUCAAAUCAUACAUUUGGACAGACGGGAGCAGGGAAUUCUCAUCAAAUGGGGGACAACUUUCCCACUAUAAUUGGUCUAAUUUCUCUUUUCUCUAUAGAUUCUAGCUACGCUACAUCUCUCGGAACCGCUAGAAAGUGAUUGAUAAGCCUGCCUUUGAAUAUAUGGUUUUUGGCUUUAAUUUUGCCUUCAAUUCGAUCCGUUUAAUACAUAGUAAAACAUAUAUUUAUAAUUUUUUUACGAAAGAGUCACCAGAAAAAAUAACUCUAAUUUUUUUCUCUUAUUUAAUUUAUUGUAAGGAGUUUUAUGUAGCAUAAUUCUAAAAUAUAUAAUUCAAAAUUUUAUUAUAGUAUUUUUGCAUUUAAUUUCUUUUAAAGUAGGAAGGAGUAUUCAUAAUUUAAAAAAUCUAGAAAUAAUCAGUCUAAUUUUCUUUUCUUGUUUUUUUUUUAAUAUUCGUCAAUAUUGCCUGGUGACAAAUUGUCAAGCUCGUGCCCCCACCUAGAAGUUUAGAAUACUGAUAUCUGUGCUGGUUAUGCUUAAAUUUCAAUAAAGACAAUACAACAAACCAAAAAGAAAAAGCGUAUUCCAGAUGAUCUAAAAUGGUCCUAAUCGGUGACGGAUAUUGAUUGCAUUUCUAUCAAAAAAAAAUUUCUUCCAAGCGAAAUUUGAACUUCCCAAGAAUUUUAACCUUAGCAGAAGU